RNAcentral lists this transfer RNA (86 nucleotides) under Candidatus Cloacimonadota bacterium. RNAcentral's name for it is "tRNA-Leu". It matches the Rfam family "tRNA". From Rfam's summary of the family: Transfer RNA (tRNA) molecules are approximately 80 nucleotides in length. Their secondary structure includes four short double-helical elements and three loops (D, anti-codon, and T loops). Further hydrogen bonds mediate the characteristic L-shaped molecular structure. tRNAs have two regions of fundamental functional importance: the anti-codon, which is responsible for specific mRNA codon recognition, and the 3' end, to which the tRNAs corresponding amino acid is attached (by aminoacyl-tRNA synthetases). tRNAs cope with the degeneracy of the genetic code in two manners: having more than one tRNA (with a specific anti-codon) for a particular amino acid; and 'wobble' base-pairing, i.e. permitting non-standard base-pairing at the 3rd anti-codon position. Lineage: Bacteria; Pseudomonadati; Candidatus Cloacimonadota. The record is from RNAcentral.
GCAGAAGUGGCGGAAUUGGCAGACGCGCAAGACUAAGGAUCUUGUGGGAAUUUAUUCCUGUAGGGGUUCGAGUCCCCUCUUCUGCA